This 1090-nucleotide long non-coding RNA is filed under the name Helianthus annuus (common sunflower). Lineage: Eukaryota; Viridiplantae; Streptophyta; Magnoliopsida; Asterales; Asteraceae. The record is from RNAcentral.
CAUACUUUCAUAGUGAUCCAUUUUAUUUCGCCUCUAGCAGUAAACAUACAAACACUACCUUAGGUGAGAAUGAAGUGACAUCUCCAUUUGUUUAUCUUCUUCAGCAGAGCAGACCAGGGCUCGCAGCGAAAAUCCAGGAUCGUUCAGUGUGAUAUCUGUUCUGUUGAUAAGAACGUAAGACAGUUGUUGAGAAGACAUGAAGGUUAAGCUUUUGCAUGGCAUGCGGUAGCUUCAUGGACAUGGGGUGUUGAUGAUGAAACAUGCGCGAUAUGUAAGAGGGCUUUUGAUGGUUGUUGUGAUGCUUGUAAACUCCCUGGUGAUGACUGCCCACCAAUAUGGGGUGCUUGCAAUCACGCGUUCCAUCUUCACUGCAUUCUGAAAUGGGUGCAUUCACAGACUCCCCAGGCACACUGUCCUUUGUGCCGUAGAGAAUGGCAGUUUAAAGAAUGAACUUGGAAGUUAUCAUAUCCUUUAAUAAUCAAAUAUAUUUAAUGUAUGCCGACAAACAUUGUGAUUUGAACUUUGCCUGAUUACUACAUGAAUUCAUUGUUGCUAGCUUUUAAAUUCAUCUGCUAUCAAUGGUGGGAUAAAGCUGUUACAUGGGCAACUUUUGAUUAAAGUUUCAGUUCUUUUUGUUGGUCUAAUUACAGUAGUCAUAUAUAUGUGAUCAAAACAGGCAAGCAGGAGCAACUUUUUUACCCGUUUGACAUGGUACCAAUAAAAUAAAUACCUAUAACUGACCCACUUGUUCGCUAAUGGAUGAGAUUUGGAAUGUCUACUAUUUUCUUUGUAGAGGGUCAAAAUGGGUACUCAUGGGUGCCCGCUCCCUAUAUGAAUUUAUUUAACUAUACUAAUUUGUUCAAGCAUCUAUCAAAGUAAAGUACUAUUGCUUCCAACAUACUAAAGUUGUUCUUUUUAGAAGCGUAAAUUGCCAUUUUAGUCCUUGAGAUUUUAGUCCAAAUAGUUUUUCUUUCUCCUCUGGAUCCCUGAGUUUUCUAUUUUCUUGCCAUUUUGAUCACAUUGCCUAACUCUGUUAAAAACCCUCAGUUUUAACCAAGGGUAUUGAUGUGCGUGAAGUGUGUUAUAUUUU